This 1301-nucleotide long non-coding RNA is filed under the name Sorghum bicolor (sorghum). RNAcentral's name for it is "long non-coding RNA (SBIC_LNC015771)". The record is from RNAcentral. Lineage: Eukaryota; Viridiplantae; Streptophyta; Magnoliopsida; Poales; Poaceae.
CCACAGUGAGCGAAGAUCUAGCUUGGGGGAGAUCCUCUCCCCCACUAAGGUAAGUAUUCUAUCCUAUUUAUUUUCAUGCAUUUUAUCAUUCUUACUUAAAAAAAAUAUAAAUAUUUAUUAGCAUUUCCCUUUAGCAUAUAUGCUUCAUGUAUGUUUAUAUCCCUCAUGGAAAUUAUGACUAGUUGCUUGUUAAUGUUUCUCUAGUGCCUAGUAUACAACUUAGUAUUUCUCUAAGUAUGGAUCACUUAGCUCACUUAAACUGCCAUGAACCUAAAAACUUUGUGGGUUGCAAGUGCUAGAACUAAGUCUAAGUUGUUGUGGGACAUGAGAUAGUAAGACAAGAGCUACUAUAAUAUUUUUCUAAGCAUGCAUGAUUAUCAGAGAUUUAUUCUUAAAAUGAUCAAAACCUUAAUUGUUCCUCAAUGGUGAUGAAUUCCUACCACAACCAUAUCUACUUUACAUAAUUGCAACCUUUCCACAUAAGCUAUUUGCUUUGUGUUGAGUGUCGUCAAGUCUUGUUGACCCUUGUUAAGAGACUUUUCAUGCUCCUAAGAUCAAGAUCACGUACACACCACAUAUAUAUAUGCUGCUUCUACACUGGAAGUACGCAACCACAUGUAUUUCGCAUCCACUAAAUAGGUUGCUCCAUACUCUAAAUGUUAGAACAUCUCUCUAAGCAUUAUUUGGUAAAUGAGACAUCAAAAGGCUAGGCAAAAUGAAAUAAAAAGAUGGACAUGUGCAAGUCCACAGAAAAAGAAAAUUGAGCACAUGAAAGCUCAUAUAUAAAAAAAAGAGAUGAAAAAAAAUGCUAGCCAUGUCUCAAUACAUAGAGAGUCUAUCAAAUAAAGGAGCAACCUAGUCCACCAUAUAUCACACUUGCACAUCUUGAUCUGGGAGUAUGACACUUCUUUUCAAGGAUCCGAGCUUUGACUUCGCAAUACAUGCAAAGUAAGUAUGCUAUCUCCUUUCAUCCCUACCUUGAACUCCACAUAAGCCUUUUAGAAAUAGGAUGAAAUAGAGAAGGCAACUCUUACCAUAUGCCUCGGUUCCAGGGUCGGUGGCCUCCCACCGACCUUCCCCACAUGUCCCACAUGUUCAUUUGCCCCUGCCGUUGAUCAAAUGGCGGUUGUGAGGUCGGUUUGAUCCAAGGGUGGAGAGAAGAUGUCACACGGAUCGAUGACGUGGCGAUGGAGUAACCCCUACUCCAUCUCCCUCUAUAAAAGGCAGCCUCCAUCCUUCAUUUCAAGUGUGCAAUUCCAAGGCCAAGUGCAUUACAAGUUCCAAGCAUACAAGUAGAGUAG